ACUCCUACGGGAGGCAGCAGUGGGAAUAUUGGACAAUGGGAACCGUAGCAUGCAGCCAUGCCGCGUGUGUGAAGAAGGCCUUCGGGUUGUAAAGCACUUUCAGUAGGGAGGAAGGUAGUGUAGUUAACACCUGCAUUAUUUGACGUUACCUACAGAAGAAGCACCGGCUAACUCCGUGCCAGCAGCCGCGGUAAUACGGAGGGUGCGAGCGUUAAUCGGAAUUACUGGGCGUAAAGCGCAUGCAGGCGGCCUGUUAAGUCAGAUGUGAAAGCCCGGGCUUAAGCCUCGGAAUUGCAUUUGAACUGGCAGGCUAGAGUCUUGUAGAGGGGUGAGAAUUGAUCGAGGUGUAGCGGUGAAAGUGCAGUAGAGAUCUGAAGG
RNAcentral lists this ribosomal RNA (378 nucleotides) under uncultured bacterium. RNAcentral's name for it is "bacterial SSU rRNA". It matches the Rfam family "Bacterial small subunit ribosomal RNA", at positions 335 to 704 of the family's 1533-position model. The record is from RNAcentral.